This is a long non-coding RNA of Helianthus annuus (common sunflower), 277 nucleotides long. RefSeq lists it as uncharacterized. The record is from RefSeq and is a predicted model, not a curated record. NCBI's taxonomy places the organism in Eukaryota, Viridiplantae, Streptophyta, Magnoliopsida, Asterales, Asteraceae. The transcript has 2 exons.
UCCUUAUAUCAUCACCUAUUGCUGCUGGACAGGCUAGUAGCUCCCAGAGAACUCAAGGAAGGACUUCGCUGAUUGAUUCGGAAUCGUUUAAACAUUACUACCCCUUGUUAUUGUGUGGCACCUGGCAAAAAUCUAGGGAUUUCUGGUAAACGAUGUGAUGGAGAUGAACGCCUGUGAUAAAUCAAUCAGGGCAUCAAGACAUGUGUUUAUAAAUUAUUUACGUAUAGGUCUAUUUAUGUGCAUUUGAUAAUUAAUGACAUUAAAUAUUUUUUUCGAA